AGUGAACGCUGGCGGUAGGCCUAACACAUGCAAGUCGAACGGCAGCACAGUAAGAGCUUGCUCUUACGGGUGGCGAGUGGCGGACGGGUGAGGAAUACAUCGGAAUCUACUUUUUCGUGGGGGAUAACGUAGGGAAACUUACGCUAAUACCGCAUACGACCUACGGGUGAAAGCAGGGGAUCUUCGGACCUUGCGCGAUUGAAUGAGCCGAUGUCGGAUUAGCUAGUUGGCGGGGUAAAGGCCCACCAAGGCGACGAUCCGUAGCUGGUCGGAGAGACUGAUAGGCCACACUGGAACUGGGCCACGGUCCAGACUCCUACGGGAGGCAGCAGUGGGGAAUAUGGGACAAUGGGCGCAAGCCUGAUCCAGCCAGACCGCGUGGGUGAAGAAGGCCUUCGGGUUGUAAAGCCCUUUUGUUGGGAAAGAAAAGCAGCAGGUUAAUACGCCGCUGUUCUGACGGUACCCAAAGAAUAAGCACCGGCUAACUUCGUG
Molecule: ribosomal RNA, 492 nt
Filed under: uncultured bacterium
Lineage: Bacteria
Description: partial 16S ribosomal RNA
Rfam family: Bacterial small subunit ribosomal RNA
Source: RNAcentral